CUUAAAGCUGGCAGAGGUUACACAUCAGCAGUAGCUCAGGCAGCCGUAACCCCAUAUGGUACAUAAUAAAAUCUAUUUAACAUUACAUUCACUAAGUGUUCAGUUCAGCAUCAAGGCACUUUCCUUGUUAAAUAUCCCCAUGUCUUACGACUACGCUUACCGAGAUGUACACGGUGACAUAACCUCAAGUACACCCUUACCCAUUCUGCCCCACAAACAGCACGUGGGGAGCAGACCGCCCACCACUGCGUGACACCGAACGAGUCCAGUCUGUUGAAAAGGCCACGGUGAGCCAAGCGGAUCCAUGAACGAAUGUGCUUUGCUGUGAAGAGCGGCCGCUGUGAGCGGUUCCACUGUUGGCAGUUCCAGAGGCGCAGCGCGGUCGGUGCAGGUCAGGGCAGGAGGAAGCCGCACUGCGGCCGGCCACGGGCAGCAGCGCCACGCACUCGUUCCUCGCCUGUCACCAAAGUGUGCUCCUGCAGCGCAUCCACGACGUCUCUGCCUGCGUCCACCACCGAGGCCGCCCCUGCACGCACACACCCCCGCCCCACGCUGCACGCCAUCAGUUAUUCGUUGCCCGCCCCACCGCGCUCUGGCCGUAGUCAUUAGAGUAGUCUGCAACAAGUCUGUGGCCUUGAUGUGUAUCCUCGCGCAUAGAGUCAGCGCUGCUCUGUCUUAUGAAUGGCUCAGAUUGCACAAGUGCUACAAAGGGAACGACAGAGGAAGCAGAUACACGCGUUCUAGCUUCAUCUUAACUAAUCCUUUCACUUUUAGGGAAGAGGAGCAGGAGUUGAUGAAUCAGCCGCAGGGUACGUGACUCUGCCCUUCUCCAGGCUCCUGCACCGGGCUCCCUGCAAUACGGAGGGCGGUGGUCGCCAACGGGCUGCUCCACCACAGGUCUCACAGUUUGUCCUUCAGAACUCGUCUGUAAAACAUCUGGCAGAGCAGCUUCCUGGGUAUUUUCUUCCAGCUCAAAGCCUAGAGGCUGUGAACUCUGGCCUGAGAUCUGCAGUUGUGCGAACCCAGCGAGAUCCUCCUCAUUAGCAGAAAUAAUCUGCUUUGCUCUUUCAAAGAAUGGCCUCUCUGUCUUGGUUUCAUCCUGACCACAAUGUUGUUUGAAAUAAUGCUGCCUUUGUGUCGUACUGUCACUCCCUCCAGCAUGAUCCUCUAAUCUCUCUUCUGAAUCCAGCAGAGGCUGAGUAGAUUCAGACCUUGAAAAGACUUGUACAGGUGUUUGAUCUCUGUAGCCAUUAAGUACUACAGUUGAAUACUGCACAGUGCUUGAGGUGUUUUGCGUAGUUUCACCUUCGUCACUAUCAGAGACACUUUGCCUAGGAGAAGACAUGCAUGAGGAUCCUCCAAUACCACUGCUGUGCCCUUCUGAAGUACUUUUUUCCUUUUUGAGCAAAUCAAAAGGU
Molecule: long non-coding RNA, 1418 nt
Filed under: Gallus gallus (chicken)
Lineage: Eukaryota; Metazoa; Chordata; Aves; Galliformes; Phasianidae
Description: long non-coding RNA NONGGAT011707
Source: RNAcentral